RNAcentral lists this long non-coding RNA (794 nucleotides) under Physcomitrium patens. RNAcentral's name for it is "long non-coding RNA (PPAT_LNC005749)". The record is from RNAcentral. Lineage: Eukaryota; Viridiplantae; Streptophyta; Bryopsida; Funariales; Funariaceae.
UGAGUCCCGCUGGAUGCCAAGUCAGAUGAUUAGGGGUGCCCUGUCAAUUCGUUUAUUUAUUUAUUUAUUUAUUUAUUAUUUUUUUGUACAUUUAAUUGCACAUUGCUAUCAAUUAUCAAUCCCAACAACUAUUUGAUUGAAAUGUGUUACACUUGCAAUGUUUUCUAACAAAAGAAAUAAAAUUUGACAUGAUAUAUAUGAUUGAUUGCCUAUAGAAUCCAUGAUCAUAUAAUUCAUCCUUGAUUAAAUGUGAUUAAAAGUAUGGAAUUAUAGGUUAUGAGAUUAGGUAGUACUUCAGAACAUACAAUAGUUGCUCUACAAUCAAGGAAAAGUUGUCCAGCUUCAACAACCUCAACUUCUGGACAAGGUUACACUGAUGCAUUGCCCACCAUGAACCACUUGUCCCAUUUGCAUCAAUCACCAUUCAACAACAAUGAGUGUGCAAUAAUUUGUAAACACCAAUGACCAUCUCAUCCUGAAGAGCACUUACAAAAAAAGCUAACAAAACAAGUGCUCCAGAACCCAGGCACAGAGAAGGUUUUGAAUAGUCUUUCCACAAAACAAAACAAAAUAAAACAAGGUCGUAGAAAGAGUUACAGUGAUGAAGGGACAGAAACUUCAUAACAUGUGUAAUUAAGAAGAGGGUGCAACAAGUUGCUGUGGAAGGGUUUUGAAUAGUCUAUCCACUUGGAAUUUCGAAUGGUCUAUCCACCUUGAACACAGCAAAGGUUCAAUCCUAGUAUAAUUCCAUGUACCUGCAGAAUGUUUACCAUAUUCUUGAACACUGCAACAUG